This 423-nucleotide ribosomal RNA is filed under the name uncultured bacterium. RNAcentral's name for it is "bacterial SSU rRNA". It matches the Rfam family "Bacterial small subunit ribosomal RNA", at positions 207 to 622 of the family's 1533-position model. The record is from RNAcentral.
AAGACCUUACGCUUUUGGAGCGGCCGAMGUCUGAUUAGCUUGUUGGUGAGGUAAAGGCUUACCAAGGCUUCGAUCAGUAGCUGGUCUGAGAGGACGACCAGCCACACUGGGACUGAGACACGGCCCAGACUCCUACGGGAGGCAGCAGUGGGGAAUUUUGGACAAUGGGCGCAAGCCUGAUCCAGCCAUGCCGCGUGAGUGAAGAAGGCCUUCGGGUUGUAAAGCUCUUUCAGCCGGGAAGAAAAGGUUGCGAUUAAUAAUCGCAAUUUAUGACGGUACCGGAAGAAGAAGCACCGGCUAACUACGUGCCGGCAGCCGCGGUAAUACGUAGGGUGCGAGCGUUAAUCGGAAUUACUGGGCGUAAAGGGUGCGCAGGCGGUUUUGUAAGUCAGAUGUGAAAUCCCCGGGCUUAACCUGGGAACU